Molecule: ribosomal RNA, 612 nt
Filed under: uncultured bacterium
Lineage: Bacteria
Description: bacterial SSU rRNA
Rfam family: Bacterial small subunit ribosomal RNA
Source: RNAcentral
GGCGGACGGGUGAGUAACGCGUAGGAAUCUGCCUGUUAGUGGGGGACAACGUGGGGAAACCCACGCUAAUACCGCAUACGCCCUACGGGGGAAAGGAGGGGAUCUUCGGACCUUUCGCUAACAGAUGAGCCUGCGUUAGAUUAGCUAGUUGGUAGGGUAAAGGCCUACCAAGGCGACGAUCUAUAGCUGGUCUGAGAGGACGAUCAGCCACACUGGGACUGAGACACGGCCCAGACUCCUACGGGAGGCAGCAGUGGGGAAUAUUGGACAAUGGGCGAAAGCCUGAUCCAGCAAUACCGCGUGUGUGAAGAAGGCCUUAGGGUUGUAAAGCACUUUCAAUUGGGAGGAAAACCUACCGGUCAAUACCCGGUAGCUUGACAUUACCUUUAGAAGAAGCACCGGCUAACUCCGUGCCAGCAGCCGCGGUAAUACGGAGGGUGCGAGCGUUAAUCGGAAUUACUGGGCGUAAAGCGUGCGUAGGCGGUUCGUUAAGUCAGAUGUGAAAGCCCUGGGCUCAACCUGGGAACUGCAUUUGAAACUGGCGGACUAGAGUUUAGUAGAGGGGAGUGGAAUUUCAGGUGUAGCGGUGAAAUGCGUAGAUAUCUGAAGGAA